AAAAUAAUAAAUAAAAAUUUGAUUAUCCAUGUCAUUAAUCCACAUCAUCAAUCUCACACUCCUCAAACUCACGUUAUUUCUCAUCUUCUCUUUUUUGUCUCAAAAUCGAAGAAAAGCUUUAAGAUCAUUUCUCCUCUUCUCUUUUUUUUGUCUACAAAUCCAAGAAAAGCUUUUAGAUCUAAUAAUCUGCAACUAACUUUGGUACAACAUUGACAGAGAUCUUCAAAUUGCAGGAUUGGGCUGGAUCUUCCUAGACCUCACAGCCACAACGCUUGCCAUAGGGUCCCAAAUCAAAAGCUUCGUCAGAUCUACUCGCAACCACGCUCACGAAAAAAGUCAUCAAAAAUCAAAACCCAAAACAAAGAGAUCUAUGGAAUUCUACAUGAUUCGUUACAGGUUUGAGUUGAAAUCAAGAAUAGCUACUCUUUUACUUUGAUUUUACAUGUCUCUCGUUUAAUCUUCCUCUCAAUCGAUCUAUUUGGAGACAUUUCUACUUCUAUCUAUGUUUUGAUUCAUACGGUUUAGUCUUCCUCCUAUGUAUCUCUCAAACAUAUUUUUACGAAUCUUAAUAUGAUUGUUGUUAUUUGACCAAUAAAUUUCAUAUUGUCUUCUCC
This 614-nucleotide long non-coding RNA is filed under the name Arabidopsis lyrata. RNAcentral's name for it is "long non-coding RNA (ALYR_LNC002727)". The record is from RNAcentral. Lineage: Eukaryota; Viridiplantae; Streptophyta; Magnoliopsida; Brassicales; Brassicaceae.